Molecule: unclassified non-coding RNA, 386 nt
Filed under: soil metagenome
Description: partial contains 5.8S ribosomal RNA, internal transcribed spacer 2, and large subunit ribosomal RNA
Rfam family: 5.8S ribosomal RNA (bases 1-120)
Source: RNAcentral
GAUGAAGAACGCAGCGAAGUGCGAUAAGUAAUGUGAAUUGCAGAAUUCCGUGAAUCAUCGAAUCUUUGAACGCAAAUUGCACUCUCUGGCAACCCGGAGAGUAUGCCUGUUUGAGGGUCAGUGUUAAUAAAAAAUCGGGUGCGUUGCAAUUUUUGUGACGUUUCCGGAGUUUGAGUUAUCUUAACUUCGGUUUUAAGAGGCUUAAAAUUGACCUUUUUUUGUGCAUUUUAGACGUACAUAAAUUUUUUUUUUAUUCGUCCAUCCUAAUGCCAAAAUCUAUUAGAUGCGACCAUAUCUUGUGGUUCCGUGUCUAUAAAUUUUUCAUGAUUUGACCUCAAAUCAGGUAGGAACACCCGCUGAACUUAAGCAUAUCAAUAAGCGGAGGA